GACACAGGUCAGGGUGUGGGGCGUGAGGGACCAAGACAUUUUGUGGGUAGAAAAAGUCAGUGAAUAGAAGCAAAGGACCGCACACAAAUCCAAGGGUUAGCUUCCUGUGGUUAAGACUGAGGGGGUCUCCCAUGGGAAUGCAGGCUCCAAGAGGCAGACCUACCUUGUCUGAUUUGUCUGCCACAACAUCGCCAUUCAGUAUUGGGCCUGAUAUACCAGCUGCUUAAUUGAGAUCAGUGGGUAGUUAGGGAACAAAAAAAAAACCUGUUGCUGUUGAGUCACUUCCAACCAGGUCUUCGAACUGAUUCUCCUCAGUUCAGUCAUGGCCGAGGAAUUAACACCGAAUAGAAUCAAUUUUUUAAAAUUUGGAUGAACUGAAACCAUAACUGGAAUGGGAAAAAUUACGGGUUGUGACUAGGAACUAACCUCCCUCUCAGAAAACUAGGGCAGUGUAUGUGUUGCGUAGCAACCAAAUCUCUUGCCCAUUGGAUUUUGCACAGAGUCAGAAACAGUGGUGCCCCACUCAAAGAUGGGGCUGACCACACCGCUUUGAAUGUGUGUCACUGUCCUCAGUCCUGGCAAUCAUCCGAUUUCACGUGUCAGGCUCCUGAAAGGGCUCACUACGCCUUUUCUGAGUCUCCCAUUCCAGGGCUUCAACUGUAAUUUUUCCUGUUCUGGGGCACCCAAAUUAUAAAAAUUCGAGUCUGUUCCAGUUUCAUUUUGUUGGCUGUGACUGAGCUGGUUCGAAGCCCUGAUUCUAACUCAUAGCGACCUUAGAGGACAGAGCAGAACUGCCUCAUAGGGCUUCCAAGACUGUGCUCUUUAUGGAAGCAGACUGCCUCAUCUUUAUCCUGUGGAGUGGCUGGUGGGUUCCAGCUGCCAACCUUCAAAUCAGCACCUGAGAGCUUAUCCACUGUGCUACCAGAGCUCCUUAGGUAGAUAGGUAGAUAAAUAAUUUUAUUCAUUUAUUGAAUGAAUGAAUAUAGUUAUGAAGUGGUGGAUGCCCCCAGGAGCCAAAGGUUUGCUCCUGAGUGGGUGGUGACACAGCUUACUCCAAGUUCUGGUCUUCAGUUAAAGUCCUACAAGGGAAGCUGCUGCCACCAAAGAGCCACCAUCCCCAGAUAUGCCCAGCUACUCUUGAGCUUACCUCUGGAAAGAGCCGUGGGAGUGCUGGUCACCAAGGGGAGAGGGCCUUCUCCAGGAAGACUGGGCAGGCAAAGUGGGGGAGCCCCACAGCAGGAAGUCCUUGGGCCCCUCAGAACUAGAUCCUUUGCUCCUGAAGGAGCGAUGCUUAUGGGAGUCAGACUAGCCCUGAAAUGGGCCCUGCAGUUUGGCUAUAGGGCUGCACCAGUCACCACAGUGGGGUCCCAGUGCCCUUCGGAGCCUCCUGCUGCUCAUUUUGCUUCAACACUGACACAUACGCUGUAUUUGUAUGCAAAUAACGCACACCUUCUAUGGUUGUUUGCUAGCGAUGCCUUCCCCUACAAGGUAUUUUCGUAAGGAUGCUAUGAUAAUUUUUUUUACAGCAACAUGUUAAAAAAAAAAAACUGGUAUAGUGGCGCUUAUGAAAAUAUCUCAUGGGGAAGGGUGCGGUUGGCAAACAAAUGUAGAAGGCAUGCAUUAUUUGAGUAAAAAUAUGGUAGAGUACCUCUGGCUGCAGUGUUAAGUGCUGGGCAUGUGUUGUGUCAUUUAAUUGUCCCAACAUCCUAAUGAAGCAGGUAGUGUUUCCUCCAUUUCACAGUUGAGGAAGCUGGGGCUUGGUGAGGGGCAGGGACCCAUUCAAGGUCCUAGAGCCAGUGAGAUACACAGCUGGGCGCCCUGUAGGCCUGGCUCUCUGAGUCCUCACUCUCAGCCACUUCUCUCUCCUUGCUCUUGGGGAUGCCCAGGUUCUUGGCCUGUGAACCUGGACAAACACUUUGACUUCCCUAAGCCUAAGUUUCCCUCCCUAUUAAAGGGAAGAAUAGCCCAUACACCACUUCUUGCUUGCUGAGGCAGAAAGUGGUGAGGAUCAAGUACUAAAGGCACAGUGGUAUGCACUGGAGCAGGAGAGAGAAAGUUAAGGCAAUUUCCACACUCAUCUUCAGCUGCUGUGAUUCCCUGGGGAGAGCCAGACUGAACAGUGACCCGCUGGAGGCAUGCACAUGGGGGCAACUCUAAAAAGCCAUCUGGAGAUUAAAAGGAAGGCCAGGAACAGGCGGUGGACAGAGGCAGUUUUUUGACUCAAGAGAGGUGGUGGGAGUCAGCUCAGGGCUUGAGAGAGAGAGCAAGUGUCCAUCUUCCACCCUCAUGCUGGUACCAAGGGAUACACCUGGCAUUCUUCACCCACAGGGCAAGGAGGAAUUGAAGCUGGAGGAGGCGAAGGGGUGGGCAAGGCUGCCUGAGGGUGUCUGGGGAGUGGGCCCAGCAGCUUUCUGGGGAGUGGGCCCAGCAGCUUUCUGGUUGAGUUUUAGGGAAUAUGGGGAACUGUUGACUGAAGGCAGGGGAAAAAAGGCUGUUUACUAAGCCCAGCUCCAACCUCUGCUGACUGGGGAGGGGAGGUGGGGAAGUGGCUGCCUUCAUUCUGCUCUGAUCCUUGGAGUUUCUCCUUGUGCACGUAUGGAGCACAGCAGUGGGGGAUGAGGGUUAGGGAGGCUCCUUGGAGCAUUGUUCUCCAGAUGCUGGCCCCGGGAGGGGAGGGUGUGGGUCUAUUUUAUUCUGCUUCUUAAUUCAAACAGUUGUUCAGACACUGCUCUGACACUCCCUCCCCCACCUUCCCUACCCUAGGCCCUGAGGGAUCCUUGGUGGUUUCAGUUGAAUUUGGUUCUAGAAGGUUCUGUCCAUAAAAGAUAAGUGCAAAUUUCAGAAGAGUCUGAAGUUCCAAACAGCAUAAAAAUACAUGCCUUUUCAAAGGUGAACUCAGAGACGGAAUCCUUUGACUUCUGAAUGUCAUCUAAACCAUUUUCCCUCCUUAAAUAAACUCUUUAUUUUGGAAUAAUUUUAGAUUUUCAGCAAAGUUGCAGCGCUAGUACAGAGAGUCCCACGCACACCUUUUACCGAGUUCCCCCUGCUGUCGACAUCUUAUAUUACGAUGGGACAUUUGUGAAAGCUAAGAAAUCAACUUUGGUACCUUACUUUUAACUAAACUCCAGACUUUCCUUGGAUUCCACCAAGUUUUUCAUUAAUGUCCUCCUUUUGUUCCAGGAUCCCACCCAGGGUACACAGUGCAUUUAGUUGUCAUGUUUCGCCAGUCUCCUCUGGUCUGUGAUGGUUUCUCAGUCUUCCUUGUCUUUCAUGACCUUGACAGUCUUGAGGCUGGGUGUCUUGUAGCAUGUCCCCCAACCUGGGUCUGUCUGUUUUGUCUGCAUCACUUGGUUAACGUAGUGUCUGCCAGACCUCUCCACUGUAAAGUUACUGUUGUUCCCUCUCCCUGUUUUAUUCUUUGGAAGCCAGUCACUAAAUCUAGUCCACCCUUAGGAUUGAGGGGAAUGGGAUUAAGCUCCACUCCUGUAGAGGGGAGUGUUUACUCAUAUUAUUUGGAGCUCUUUCGUAAGAAAGGAGCCCUGGUUGCACAGUGGUUAGGAGCUCAGCUGCUAACCAAAAGGUAGGCAGUUUGAAUCCACCAGCCACUCCUUGGAAACUCUAUGGGGCAGUUCUACUCUAUCCUAUAGGGUCACUAUGGGUUGGAAUCUACUCAGUAGCAACCAGUACUUGGGUUUGUAAGGAACAGUCAUCUCUUCUCCCCUAUUUAUGUAUUUGGUCAUUUAUAUUUAUAUCAGUAAGCACUCGAUGUCUAUUUUAAACUUUGGGUUAUAAUUCAGUAUUACAUUAUGUACUUUGUUGGUCAAAUUAUUCCAUGUUUGGACAUGGCAAUUUCUUUCAGGUUGGCUUCUGUGUUCCUUAACAUGCUCUGUACUUCUGUUUUGUUGUUUAUUUGUUUUGGUUUUUGUUGAUUUGUUUUGAGCAUUUCCUUACUUUCUGGUCCUACAACAUGCUUCAGGGUCAUCUUGUAUUUUCCCUGCCUCAGCCCUAGAAUGAACUAUUUCUCUAAAGAGCCCUGUCAACCAUUACUUUUUUUUUUUUUAAUUUUAUUAACUUUUAUUGAGCUUCAAGUGAACAUUUACAAAUCAAGUCAGACUGUCACACACAAGUUUAUAGACACUUUACUCCGCACUCCCACUUGCUCUCCCCCUAAUGAGUCAGCCCUUCCAGUCUCUUCCUUCGUGACAAUUUUGCCAGCUUCCAACUUUCUCCAUCCUCCCAUCCCCUCUCCAGUCAGGAGAUGCCAACACAGUCUCAAGUGUCCACCUGAUAUAAUUAGCUCACUCUUCAUCAGCAUCUCUCUCCUACCCACUGUCCAGUCCCUUUCAUGUCUGAUGAGUUGUCUUCGGGAAUGGUUCCUGUCCUGGGCCAACAGAAGGUUUGGGGACCAUGACCGCCGGGAUUCCUCUAGUCUCAGUCAGACCAUUAAGUCUGGUCUUUUUGUGAGAAUUUGGGGUCUGCAUCCCACUGAUCUCCUGCUCCCUCAGGGGUUCUCUGUUGUGCUCCCUGUCAGGGCAGUCAUUGAUUGUGGCCGGGCACCAACUAGUUCUUCUGGUCUUAGGAUGAUGUAGGUCUCUGGUUCACGUGGCCCUUUGUGUCUCUUGGGCCCAUAGUUAUCGUGUGACCUUGGUGUUCUUCAUUCUCCUUUGAUCCAGGUGGGUUGAAACCAAUUGAUGCAUCUUAGAUGGCUGCUUGUUAGCAUUUAAGACCCCAGACGCCACAUUUCAAAGUGGGAUGCAGAAUGUUUUCAUAAUAGAAUUAUUUUGCCAAUGGACUUAGAAGUCCCCUUAAACCAUGGUCCGCAUACCCCUGCCCUUGCUUCGCUGACCUUUGAAGCAUUCAGUUUAUCCAGGACACUUCUUUGCUUUUUGUCCAGUCCAGUUGAGCUGACCUUCCAUGUAUUGAGCAUUGUCCUUCCCUUCACCUAAAGCAGUUCUUAUCUACUAAUAAAUCAGUAAAAAACCCUCUCCCACCUUCCCUCCCUCCCCCCACCCCUCAUAACCACAAAAGUAUGUGUUCUGAACCAUUACUUUUUUAAAAGUUAGUUUUUAAGAAAAUAUGUGUUCACAAAAAAAAGACCAGACUUACUGGUCUGACAGAGACUGGAGAAACCCCAAAAGUAUGGCCCCUGGACACCCUUUUAACUCAGCACUGAAGUCACUCCUGUGGUUCACCCUUCAGCCAAAGAUUAGACAGGCCCAUAAAAUAAAACAGGACUAAAUGGGCACACCAGCCCAAGGGCAAGGACGAGAAGGCAGGAGGGGACAGGAAAACUGGUAACGGGGAACCCAAGGUCGAGAAGGGGAGAAUGUUGACAUGUCAUAGGGUUGACAACCAAUGUCACAUAACAACACGUGUAUUAAUUGUUUAAUGAGAAACUAGUUUGCUCUGUAAACCUUCAUCUAAAGUACAAUUAAAAAAAAAAAGAAAAUAUGUGUUCAUUGUAAAACAAAAAUGAAAAGCAAAGCAAAAUAAAACAAAAAAACACCAAAGAAAGAGAUAAAGUGAAAUAGCCCUGCCCCUCCCCCCACCAGGAGCACCUGUUUUUGCUUAUCCUUCUGGACCUUUCCUAGCAUCACCUGCUUCUGUGUACUGCUCCUUUUUGUACCUACAGAAUUGGACUAGACAUUUAAUUCUGCAACCUGCUUCUUCCCAAUAGUGAUCUACAUUUUCUAUGAUUCCAAACACUGCUAUCAAGAAUAUCUUUGUACACCUGUGUAUUCUGUAGGAAAGAAUCUUGGAAGUGGACUUGCUAGGCUGAAUUUUGAUGAAUGCUGCUAAAUUAUGCUUAAAAAUACAAUAAGAAAAUCAAGGCAGGUUUGGCUCAGCUUUUUAGAACAGCCAGCGCAGAAAGAGAGACUCUUAUUGCAGAUGUUCUUGGAGUAAGACAGUGUCUCAGUCAUCUACUGCUGCUGUAACAAGUACCACAAGUGGAUGGCGUUAACAAAGAGAAAUUUAUUCUCUCACAGUCUGGUAGGCUAGAAGUCCAAAUUCAGGGUGUCAGCUCCAGGGGAAGGCUUUCUCUUUGUCUGCUCUGGAGGAAGGUCCUUCUCCUCAGUCUUCCCCGGAAUAGGAGCUUCUCUCUGCAGGAACCCCAGGUCCAAAUGAUGCGCUCUGCUCCCGAUGCUUCUUUCUUGAUGGUAUGAGGUCCCCACGUCUCUGCUUGCUUCUCUCUUUUAUAUCUAAAAAGAGAUUGGCUUAAGACACUAUCUAAUCUUGUAGAUCUCAUCAGUAUAAUUGCUGCUAAUCCGUCUUAUUAUAUCAUAGUGAUAGGAUUCACAACAUAUAGGGAAAUCACAUAAAAUGGUGGACAAUCAUACAAUACUGAGAAUCAUGGCCUGGCUAAGCUGACAGAUGUUUUUGGGGGACACAGUUCAAUCCACGACAGACAGUAAACUAUACAUAUACCUUUUCUGAACAUGUACUUUAUUAGGUGGUAGUUGGGACCUCCCUCAUGUGCUCCCCAAGAAAUUGUGCAGGGCCAUGCCAGAGAGACAGAGGAGAAACCAGGGCCCCUGUGAUGUUGAAUUGUUGCUGUGGACCAGGGCUCUCAAUCCAGCCUGUCUUCUUCCUGCCUUAGGAAACCUCCCAGGAUGCCCAGGUUUUAUGGGAUGGCAUGUAUUCUGCUGUCCAGACAGCAGAUCCAGCUAUCUGGCUAGAACCCAAGUGACAGUUUCUUCCUGGCCUGCCCCAGUGCCUUAGCCCACCUGAUGCUUGGGAAACUAGAGAGCCCUAAAAGGGCCAACAGGACUGCUUGGCUCACACUGAGCAGGAGGAGUGUCAAGGGCCUGCCGACACCAUCAAGGGACAAUCCAAACACCAGAGCCCAGUCUUCUGGAAGCUUCAGGAAGGAAAGGAGCAUGUACCCAUCAGGAUCUCCAAAAGCCCAGCCCAGGAAGUGGGAGAGGGUCUUUGGUCUGUGGGGCGUUGUUCUGGCUUGGAGCAUCCUUCUAGAGCUGGCCCUCUCUCUUUGUGACCCUGAAGUUUGAGCUGCAGAGUCUCUUAUGAGGUGGCUCAGACUCCAGAGCUCAGCACCUUGAAGAAGUCGUUCCAUGUUUGUGUGUGUGUGUGUUUUGAGUUUUGGACCAAAGAGCACCAGCAGAGCCAAGAGGGAAUCAUGGGGGUUAGGAGAUGCUGGGAGUCAUGGUGGCUGCCCUUGUUUCCAGGCAAGAAUUACACAUAAACCUUAACGUGGUUGGAAUUUUUAGCAUAGCCUCUGUAGGCCAGCCACUGUGGCGGGCACUGCAGGUGGGCCACAAGUACCUUCUGCCUUCCAGAGCUACUGGCCAGCGGAAGCAAGGUGGACCUGUGGACCUGUGGCAGUGGUUGGCCAGGUGUUGGGGACAGGCAGACCUUAGAGUAUUAUUUGUAUCUAGAGUGGGCCUCUCUGCCUUUUGUACUCUUUGAGAUCUUGGGCUAGUUAUUUCACCUUCUGGGCCUGUUUACCAUAUGAGAAAUAAUGAGAUUAUCAUUUUUAAGACUUUACCUCCCACAGACAGUUAUUCUGAAAAGUGAAGGAGCCUGAGGGAGAGAGAGAUUAUGUCAGAUGAGAUGGUUCCAGGAGGCCGUUUGGAGUAGUGCCCCCCACUUUCCCCCAAACCCUCCAAAUGGUGGCUUUGCCUAGUAUCUGAGAUGUGUUUCUUUCCUCACAAAUUGUAGUACCACUCUCCUUCCAGAAGGCAUUUCUUAACACAGUGGUUUUCCCACGGGGCCCCUAUGUAAUAUUUGUGGCCAACAGUUGGAGCAAGGAGUUCUGCCAUGCAGUUUAAAUGACGGUGCUUCCACCCCCAACCUCCUCACACCCCCAAGUUCACAGUAUCAGGUAUAGAUUUUGGGCAAUCGUCGUGGUAUGUUUUGACUCAUUUCCUAACCCACAGAAGAUUUGGUCAGGAAGCAAAAAAAUCCAUGGCUGCCAAGGUGUGUGAGUUUUUAAAUCUUUCUCAGUACCGAAUGGCAUACAAUAAGUGUAAUGAAGUAGGGCGAAGGCCUUCCUUCCUCUUCCACGUCUCAGAGGUAACCACCGUUGCUAACAAGUUGGUUAGGUCCCUACCAGUCCUUUUUUUUUUUUUUUUAAUUCCUCCUCUUUUUUUUUUUUUAAUUGUAGUGAAAACAUGCAUACCAAAACAUCCACCAACACUACAGCUUCCACAUUUACCACUCAGUGACCUUGACCUACCAAGCCUUUCCAUGCCAGUUCUGGUUGUUUAAGUUGGCAUACAAAUUUGUACCCCCCCCCUUUUUUUUUCUAGAAUGGUAUCAUAAAAUGUGUAUCAUUCCACAGGUUUUUAGUCUUCCUCUCAUCUCUGUGUUAGUCCGCACAAGUCCACCUCAUUCUUCUUCAACAAUAGAAUAGUAAGAGAUGAGCUUUCUCUGCAAUAUCUUAUGAAUGACUGUUUGAGGGAUGCCACCUGCUCACAUAGAUGUUCAUGAUGUUGUAAGAUGUCAUUGUCAUCCGCCGUGGUUCAUCAAGGUUGAGAGCCUGUGCUGGGGAGGCCAUGUGCCUAGUACCACAGCGCCUGGCACAUGAGGGACCCUCAGCAAAUAUGUGCUGGGGAAGGAGUGGCUGAGGAAUGAGUGAGGGUCACUGAGGGUGGAGGCUGGGACAUCAGACUUGAAAUGGGUCUCUUUCUCAACCAAUAUCUGUCUUUCUGUCUUUUUUUUUUUUUCAUUGUUUUGUUUUUGAAAGGGAUCCAAAUCCCAGAAGUCUAGCAGAUUCCCUUUGCUAAGCUGUCAGUGCUGAAGGGUCCCAGCAUCAAUGCAGCUAAUACCCCAAGACGAUUUUCCUAGGGCUGCCCCCUGAGGCCAGUGGAGAUGCUCUUUGUGUGGUGGGAUUUGCCCUUCAGCCUCUUUGACCUCUCUGCUGACCUUGACUCUUCAUGGCUUUGUGACUGGGCCCUGCCUUUUCCCUUGGGGUAAAAACAUGAAUGUAUCACGUGUGGGUGUGCUUAUACGUGUGUGUGUACAAUCCCCUUCUUCCUCUCCAAUAUUGCCUUCCUGGGGUCAGUGCCUAUAGGAUUAUCUAAAUAUUAUUUCAGCUUAUGUCUUUUGAGUGGGUGGUGUUUGUGGUCAUAAAGUUUCAAGGACAUAAUGCGUUUCUGCUGAAUGAAACUAUUAUACGUCUACUUAAAUGAAAAAUUAAAAUAAAAUUUUACUUCCCCAGUCACACUAGGCACAUUUCAAGUGCUCAGUAGGCUAUAUGUGGCUUGUUGUUGCUGUUUAGCCAGCCCCUGACUCAUGACAAUCCCAGAUGUUACGGAGUAGAACUGUGUUCCAUAAGGUUUUCUUGGCUGUAAUCUUUACAGAAAAGAGGGGAUAGAGACAGAAGUGGACACAGGGCGGUGGUUGCACAUCCAGGUCUCAGGUGUGAGUGAGUGCCUGUGCACUUGUUUCCUUCCGUCCCUGCCUGUGUCAGAUUUCAGCCCUCUGCAGCCCCAGAGCCUGCCAUGGGCAUUCCUGACAUGUGUGCCUUCUGAUUCCUCUGCUCUUCCCUCAUCUGUGGGUGUUGGAGACAGACAGCCUGGGCGGUGCCUUCAUUUAUUUACUAUCAGGCCUUCAUCUAGAGUAGUGCCAUCUAAUAGAAUGUUCUGCAAUGAUAGAAUGUUCUGUAUUCCUUUAUCCAAUAUGGUGGCCACUAUGGGUGGCGCAAGCAGUUUGCAGUCAGCUGCUAACCUAAAGGUUGGUGGUUCGAAGCGACCCAGCUGCUCCGCAGAGGAAAAGGCCUGGCAAUCUGCUUCCGUAAAGAUUACAGCCAAGAAAACCUUAUGGAGCAGUUCUACUCUGUAGCACAUAGGUCGCCAUGAGUUGGGGGCAGACUCAGCAGAAGCCACAACAAGAAAAAGCCACAUAUGGCUACUGAGCACUUGAAGUGUGCCUAGUGCAACGGAGGAACUGAAAUUCAAGUUUAUUUUAAUGUUUAAUUUAAAUAGACAUGUGGCUAAUGCUGUUUUGGACAGUGUAGGCUGAGAGCCUGUUCUGGGUAGGGCCCCGUGCUGAGAGCUGGAAUGCUAAAAACACUGUCCCUGGCCCCAGGAGCUCACAGACUUGGCUGGAGGCAGGGUCUGGAGCUGGGCAACAAGUGCCCUGGUGGAACCCAGCCUAGGGUCUGUGGAGCACGUGGGUAAACCUACCUCGGGUGGUUAAAGCAAGACCAAUACCAGGAAAGGCUUCCGAGAGCUGAGACUUAGCCUGGCAGGAAGCGGGGAAGAGCACACCAGACAGAGGGAGUAGCACAUGCAAAGACCCUGAGGUAUGAGACAGCCAGUGCCAUCCCCAUAUGAAGUGUUUUAAAAGGGCCCGGUCUUGCGGGGGACUGGUGAAGAAGCAGAGCCCAUUCAUGGGAGUCUUGAUGUGUUAGCAUAGGGAUUGGGGGUUCAUCUGGAGGACGACGUGUAGCUAACUGAGGUAUGUGUACGUGUGUGUGCGCUUCAGAGAAGGAGAAUCUGAAGCAGAUCUGUGUUUAAGGAAAAUAAAACUACUGCCAGCGGGAAGGUAGAUUUAUCUGAGGGUGGGGUGAGAGUGGUGAGACAGUGACCCUGGCUGGCGUGGGAACAAGGGGUGCCUGUGUGGAGGCAAGGAUUAGAGGGCUAGAGGGGUUAGAGCCUUGGGACCAAGCAUGGUGGUGAGCUCAGAGGCAAAACUUUUCCCUACCCCCCACCUUGAGUCACAUACUAUGGCUAUUUCCAGCUACCCCAGGUUCCACAGGUUAAAAAAAAAUUGCAGCUUCAUUUUCUGGCUGCAGCUGGGGAAAUGAUUUCAGAGCCUGCUGGCAUGGAGCCCUUUUUUUUUUCCCUUCAGCAAUUUCCCUGUUGGAAAUUGUUAAAGGAGGUGGCAAGCGCUGGCCGGGGUCAGUUCUAUCAGGGGGAGCUGGGAGGUGCAGAGGCAGGGAUCCCAGGGCCGAAGCCACAGGCCACAGGUUCCCCUGAAUAAGCUCUCGCUGGGGACGUUUUUUGAACUGAAGAUGCAGGCGGCUUUGGUAAGGAGUUUUUUUUUUUUUUGCUGUGGCUCUGACUAGGCACAUUUCUCUUUCCCAUCUCCUUUAUCCUUGCAUGCCUGUGUUUAAAAUGAGGCCUUCUCUUGGGGAUGGGGAAGAAAGCUACCUGACUUCUGCCACCAUCUUUGUUUCUGGAAACAUCUGAGGUCCUUGGCUGGACGUGGCUGUAGCUCUCUGUGGGCCCCAGGAAUCCAGGCCGUCUAAGUUGGGGGUAUAUGUAAGAUCUGAACCAGAAAAAUGACCUGGCAUCCGGCUCCUGGGGUACUGCUUUAAUUGGCAUGAAUCCUGUCCCUCUCCCUCUAGCCUCUCCUCCCCACCCCUCUUCCCGUCUGUCCCCACCCUCUCCCUUUGGGAGACAGAAGCCCGGCUGUUCUGACAGCCUUGCUCUUUGGCAGCUGGGAACCUCCUGAGGAUGCAGCACAUACCCUCAACCGGUCUCGCGGAGGAAUCUGCGCAGACAUGUCAGCUGGAGCAACCCAGGGCUGCCUUGGUAAUGAGGAUUUGAGCACCUGGGAGCUGGAUAUCAACUCCAGCCCAGUGAGUCUGGCCCACACAGCCCUCCCCACUUAGAAUGGUGAAAAGGAGGCCUGAACAGUGGACUGCCCAGGUUACCCACCCAGUCAGGAGAGGGGCUGAACUUGGAAUAUGGAAAGAAGAGGGCAAACUACCAGGUUGCAUUUUCAAUACAUCAUCCUGUUCAGUUCUUAUACCUGUGGGGGAGGCACCGAGGUCCUCAUUCUACAGCUCAGAGAAGUUGAGUGACUCGUUAGUGUCACACAGUGAGCCGGUGACAGGACCAGGAUUCAAACUUAAGUCCCUGUGACUCCAAAGCCAGACCUCCUUCCCCCACAGGAGUUUACCAUCUGACAUCUAACCGAGAAAUAGCCCAACCUGGAGCCACUGUAUGUAGUUGUGUAAUAGAAUUGACCUACUUUUUUUUCUUUCUCUCUUUCUCUUCCCUUCCUUUCGUCCUUCCAUCCUUCUUCUUUUCCUCACUCCCCUCCUUAACGUACAUUCCAUUUAUUCUACAUCUGUGGUGGCACAAACCUACCCAGAGUUACCUUGAAGAUAGGCCUGUCCGUAUGCUUCUGAAAGAUCACAGCCUUGAAAACCCUAUGGACACAUAGGGUCGCCACGAGUCAGAAUUGACCCGAUGGCAACUAACAACAAUCGAUCACUUGCUUCGUGCUGGGUACUCAGAUGAAUUAUCACAGGGGGUUAAAUGAACAAAAUACAGUCCUGCCCCAGAGGGCUCACGGUAUGGUGGGAUGUGCGUGUCUGCAAGGUAACCAUCAUGCAGAAUGGACUGACGGGUCCCAAGGGAGAAAAGGAUAAAAUGUGGCAAGAUAGGGAGCUGAGAGCCUAUUUCUAUGUUUUUGUCCGUCCGUCCGUCCGUCUGUCCGUCCGUCUGUCCAUCCAGUGUGUACUUGGCAUCUGUUGUGUGGCAGGUACUGUUCUAGGUGCUGGGCAUGAGUUCCUGUUCUUAGGGAGCUUACAUACAUCACUCUCUCCAAUUUAUGAAUUAAUUCAUUUUUCUGACCUUGAACCAAAUUACCGUCUUUUAUGCUUUGAAGGGGUGGGAAUCUCCCUGGUUUCUAGAAAUCUGAAAAGUUAUGAGCAUGACUUUUCUGCCUUGCCCUGCACUACUUGGCAUAUUUGAACGUUGGGCCCACCUCCUUAGUCCUUGGGAUUUCUGAAAACCAAACCCCCAGCCUGGCUUGGGAGAAAGUGCUGGAUGUGGCUGUAUUGUUCACUGCUCUGUCCCCAGUGCCUACUGUAUAAUAGGUGUUCUUGUUGAGUGACUGAAUUCAAAAUAAGAGUAUCCAUAAAGUUUUGGUGUCUUAGGCCAGGGUGUUUCAGGGGCUCUUUCAUCUGGGCCAAUGAAGGUUGAAUCCCAGGGGUCCCUGGGGAGGGUGAAGACGAGGUAGCUACCGAUGGCCUGCUGAGGCCUGGGGAUAUGUGGAAUUAGGUUUCUGAGCUGUCUUUCGUUUCUAUUGGUGACAGGCUGGACUUGAAUUACAACGUGUGCCUGUAGCCCUGCCAUGAAAUGGCUUUGUCUUAGUGUGUGCCUGAGCCUCCUCUGGGGGUCACCUAGCUCCUGGGCUGUCAGCUUGUGUUGAGUCCCUCCUCCUCAAUGGGCUACCUCAAAGGCAAUAUUGCCCUAAAAUGGACCUGAACAACCAGAUAUCACUGGGAAAUUCCUGUGUCAACAUUGUACUGUUUUAAUUAUCAUAAAGCAAGUGUUUAUCUCUCGUUACCUUUCUUUUUCAAAUAUCAGCAUGUAAAUUUUCCUAGUCCUUGCUCCCAGCUAUAUCUGCCUUUGGGCAGGCUGAAAAUUCUCUGACUGGAAAGCAGGAUUGCUUAAGAGCAUGACUUCUGGAAGUAGAUGACCCAGAACUUGGCCUUGCGAGGCAGACAAAAUGCUGGCUUUAUUUACCACUUGCCAUCGAUGAGACCUUGGAUAAGCCUGUUUACUCAUCUGUCAGAUGCUCUAGCAAGAAACUCAGGAGUCAUUUCUGAUUCCUUCUGCUUCCUCACCCCCCACAUUCAGUCAGUUAGCAAAUCCCACUGGCUGUGUUUGUAAAUUUGCUCCCCAAAUCUAUCUGUGUCUCUUUUUUAACAAUACCAUCCCCUAGUCCCACUUGGCCGUCUGCAGUGGCCUCCAUGUCACUCUGCUUCCUCUCUUGUCUUCCCCUUCAGUCCAUGCUUCAUGAGUCAAGAGUGAUUUUCUUCAAACCCAAAUCCAGUUAUCUCACUUUUCUGAGUAAAAUCCUUCAAUAGUGUCUUGUUGCGCUCAGCAUAAAAUCUAGAUUCCUCACCAUUCCCUACACAGCUCUGUAGAAUUCAGCGUCUGCCUUUAUUCUCCCACAUGGUCUCCUGCCUCUUCUUACCAGUCUCCUCCUCGUGAUAGAACACGUUAGGUUGUUUCCUCUCUCAGCCCAGGGCCUUUGUGUCCUCUGUUGCCUCUGCCUGGAAAUUUCUUCACCUCCAUGGCUAGUGCCUUCUCAUCUUUUGACAGGGGUUAGAGGUCAGCUCUUCAGAGAGGCUACCGUAUCUAAAAUUAGAUGUCGCCUUUCCCAUACCCACCACUUUAUCUCAGCAUGCUAUUUCCUUUUUAGCACUUAUUCACAAAUUUCAAUUACUGUUUACUUCUGUAUUUGUUUUUUAUUCUGUGUUUCUCAUUAGAGCAUAGGCUCCCUGAGGAAAGAGACUGUCUUCUUCAGUGUUGUAGUCACAGUGCUGAGUAAAAUGCCUGGCACACAGUUGGUAUUCUAUAGUUAUUUGUUGAUUGGAUGGAGGGAUGAAGGAGGGAGGAAUGAAUGACAUGGUACCAGGGCACACAAUAAGCACUUACUACAUAAAAGCUAUUAUAUUCUCCUACUACUAGUUAAGGCAGAAACCCUGGUGGUGUAGUGAUUAAGAGCUAUGGCUGCUAACCAAAAGGUUGGCAGUUCAAAUCCACCAGGUACUCCUUGGAAACCCUGUGGGACAGUUCAGCUCUGCCCUAUAGGGUUGCUAUGGGUCGGAAUCAACUCGAUGGCAGCAAGUUUACUACCAGUUAGAAAUUUCCUGUAGUAAGUUCAGACACCCAGCUGGCUUAGGCAAAAUGGAGACUUUAUCAGCUCAGGUAACAGAAGUCCAGGGAAGCCUGGAUGCAGGGACUCAGAUGAUGCUAUCAGGGCUCUCCUCUUAGACAGGCCCACUGCCAUAGCAGGCAUGAAGGGCACAAGCAACUAAGUCUUACUUUCUUCCAGCAUAGUCUAUGUUGCCUUUGUAGAGCUUCCCCUAUAAUUAUAGCUGAAAAAUCUCAGGGAGGGCUCUGAUUAGCUUGGCUUUGGUCAUGUGCUCAUAUGGGAACCUAUCGCUGGACUAGGAAGAUGGAGACCUCCAGUUGGCCCAAACUGGGCCAUGGCCCAGCCCUUUAGCAGCAUGAUGGAGGGGCCUAAAGGGUCAGGGCUACUUGAACUCAGGAAAUGGGUUCCUGGAGAAAGACAGCCCUGUUAGCCAGAGAAGGAGGCGUGUAAAAAUAAACACUCUCACUCCCUCAGAUGGCAAAAGCAGUCACUGCUGCAGUUGGUGAGAUAUCUCCACCUCUAUCCUUACACAGGGCUCUCUAUGGCGGUAGGUCGCCUGCCUUGCCCUGGGGGUCUCAGGUGUGACAACCGUACUUCUGUUUUCCCAUCAGUGAGCAGAACCCAUAGGUCUGUGUGGGAGUGGGACGUGAAGAGCCUCUGACUCAGAGACAGCUGUCUGUCAGGGGCUUGGCAGCUCCCGGUAGGGUCUGCUGAGAGCAUGUUUCUAGAAUAAAUAGGUGAGCCCAUUCCACCCUCCUCCGUGGUCUUUGUUUUUAAUAACAUUUAAAGUUUUUCUCUCUAUGAGUGUAAUAAAUGUUUAUUAUUGAAAAUUAGAAAAUAUAUCAUUUUUCAUGGCUGUCUUACGUGCCAUCCAGGGAAUCUGCUGCACUUUGUGCGGCUCUUCCCUUGGGUGUCCACAGCACCCAGCCCAAAUGUGUGAGAGCUGUGGAGGGCUUGCGGGUAGCCGGAGUUCACGUGGGGGUAGGAGUUUCCCCAGAUGAUUCAUUGGAGUGGGGAGAUGAUACCGUUCUUUGAUGACUCAGGUCCUGCUUUUUGGAGGGGACGGUGAGGCAGGGAAAACUUCUCUUGUCUGUAGCCUGGUAUCCCGGGUAUCUGGGCACCCGAGUCCCCAGCCCCCUGCAGCAAGGCCCACAGAGCCUGUGCCUCUCACACCCAGCACCUGCUCCAGGAGGUAUGUGCUGACUCCCCAGCUCCCAGGCGCAAACUAUUUUUGGCCCUGGUGACUGUUCACUACAGUCAUGAAAACAGAAACCCCUCUCCCUGCCUCCUCCUUCCCUGGGACACUGCACAGGGGCCAGGGCUGUGGGCACCCUGGUCCUGGGACCCUUACCAUGCAUUGCCUGUGGAGCUGGGUGACAGCCAAGGCUACAAGGGGCACGGGGACCCCGCCGCCCGUGGUGCUGAGGGAGGCACGAGGACUAGGCCGGCCCAAACCAGAGGGUUGCAAGGUAAGUGCUGGGGCCUGGGAUCAGAAGGCCUCUCCCGGAGCCCCUGGAAUGGGCACCUUUGGCUAGGCCCUGAGUCUUUACUUUGCUAAUUGUUUACAGAACAUGCUUUCCUGAGUUAAAGUGUCUGAAGAGAGAUCAGAAUCUUCCUGAAAGAGAUCUUCCCUGUCCUUGUAGUGCUAGGAAAAGGGUUCUGGUCUUUUAGUGCUUUGGGUUUGACCAGGACACGUGUGUUGUGAGCACAUUUCCUUUUGCAGGCACUUAAGAAAUGGGUGACAUGUAGGCUGACCCAGCCCUGCCUCUCAGGCCAAGGAGGCAAAGAGGCACAGAGGCUGGGUGUACUCGCUUUGUGGUUACACGGACCACCCUCCAAAUCCAGCUCCCUCACUUACUUGCUGUGUCUUAACGUGAGUAGCUUAAUCUCUCAGGACCUCAGUGUCCUCAGCUGCCAAGCAAUUGUACCUCAGCUGCUCACCAAGGAGUAGUAGCACCAGUCAUUGUUAUUUUAAUUAUUAUAGAUGGGUUGUGAGAAGAAGAAGUGUGUCAAGAAGCUGAGUAAGAGUCAGUGUGUUGCAGCAACCUGUGGAUCUCUGGCCCUGUCUCAGGGGCUGGGUGUUUAGGUAGAUCUGGCAAUGUGGGAUUUAUUUCUUCCUUUCAGAAAGGAGAAGAUUAUGUACCAUCUCCGAAGAGAAUAGUGGAGAUGUUCAAGGACAUGGAGUUGAAGAUUUCUGCCCAACCCCGUCUUGUAAGCCACCAAGACUUUGGGGACUGGCCAGACUAUGGGUGAGGCCAGGAGCCCAGACUCCAUGGCUUCCAAAUUGCAUAGGGCUCUUGGCCCACAAGACAAGCACAUGGCCUGGCAUCCCUACACCAGCUGUCUUUGGAGGUCAUUCUCAGGGUAGAUCUCAGUGGAAUCUUCCCCUUGGCUCAUUUCUUGGACCAGCUUAGAAAAACCUGGAAAGAAUGAAGCCUUUUCUUAUGGAUUGAAUUGUGUCCCCCCAAAAUGUGUGUCAACUUGGCUAGUCAUGAUUUCCAUGUCCUCUAUUUUGUGAUCUGAUAUAAUUUUCCUAUGUGUUGUAAAUCCUGCCUCUGUGAUGUUAAUGAGGCAAGGUUAGAGGCAGUUAUGUUAAUGAGGCAGGACAUAAUCUACAUGAUUAGGGUGUAUCUUGAGUCAAUCUUUUUUGAGAUAUAAAAAAGAGAACCAAGCAGAGAGGAGAGGGACCUCACUACCACUAAGCAAGAAGAGUCAGGAGUGGAGGGUGUCCUUUGGACCCAGGGUCCCUGCACUAAGAAACUCUUACACCAGGGAAAAAUUGAUGUCAAGGACCGUCUCCCAGAGCUGACAGAGAGAGAAAGCCUUCCCCUGGAGCUGGCAUCCUGAAUUUGGACUUCUAGCCUCCUAAAAUGCAAGGAACGCUCACUGUGGAAAAAGAAGCCACCUGAAUUUAGACACCAUCUCAAGAAUAG
This is a long non-coding RNA of Loxodonta africana (African savanna elephant), 17516 nucleotides long. RefSeq lists it as uncharacterized. The transcript is spliced from 3 exons. Lineage: Eukaryota; Metazoa; Chordata; Mammalia; Proboscidea; Elephantidae. The record is from RefSeq and is a predicted model, not a curated record.